Molecule: unclassified non-coding RNA, 391 nt
Filed under: fungal sp.
Lineage: Eukaryota; Fungi
Description: partial internal transcribed spacer region
Rfam family: Eukaryotic small subunit ribosomal RNA (bases 1-46)
Source: RNAcentral
AAGUCGUAACAAGGUUUCCGUAGGUGAACCUGCGGAAGGAUCAUUUAACACGUAUCCAACGUUAAAACAACCCCCGUGAACUUUCAGCUUGCCUGUAGCCCGUGAAAACAGCAAUCCCUGGUAAAUCAUUGUUGACCAGCUUUUGAGUCAGGGACCUCUGCCGAUUGUGAUAUUUUAUAGCUACGGUUGUGGCAUCCCCAAGUAAUCAGUGUCUGAAAGUGUCAUUGAUUAUGUAAGGAUGGCGCAGUCACGAUCGCUGUAGGCCCACACGGCUGGCGACCGGGUCACCGGGCUCUGCCCCUUUACGACAACACAGUACGAAUUGGCCGCGCGUGAAAUUCGCACGGCACCAAAAACCGAACAACUGUUAACAAUGGAUAUCUUGGUUCUC